AUGGCAAUAGUCCAACGGUGGGAUAAACCGGAUUAUUUUAUCACGAUGACUUGCAAUACCUAUUGGGAGGAGAUAACCCAUAAUCUGAUGCCUGGACAACUUCCACAAGACCGUCCAUACCUUGUGGCAAGAGUAUACAAGGCUAAACAACGAGAUAUGAUGGAAUUUCUAACUAAGGGUAAGCAUUUCGGAGAAGUCGCAGCUUAUGUACAUGUCACGGAGUUUCAGAACCGAGGCCUCCCUCAUGAGCAUAUACUUUUAAUCAUGAAAACAAAUAGCAAGUUAGCAUCCCCAUAUGACUAUGAUCAGGUGAUAUCCGCAGAGAUACUUGACAAAGGGAAACACCCCGUUCUGCAUGACCUGAUCGUCAAACACAUGCUGCACGGACCCUGUGAUUGA
This 399-nucleotide ribosomal RNA is filed under the name Triticum aestivum (bread wheat). Its description in RNAcentral is "partial small subunit ribosomal RNA". Lineage: Eukaryota; Viridiplantae; Streptophyta; Magnoliopsida; Poales; Poaceae. The record is from RNAcentral.